Molecule: long non-coding RNA, 428 nt
Filed under: Linum usitatissimum (flax)
Lineage: Eukaryota; Viridiplantae; Streptophyta; Magnoliopsida; Malpighiales; Linaceae
Description: long non-coding RNA (LUSI_LNC001531)
Source: RNAcentral
AAUGACAACCUCUGCUGCAUAGAACCUGGAACAACACUUUUAUCACUAUUACAAAAUGAAAGGGCAAAGAAAACCAUGGCACUAUAUGAUUAACUCAUUAAAAUAACCAGAUAUGUAUGAAGUGAUGGUAUCUUUAAUUGAAACACCAAAUACAGAAUAUCUGACGUCGAGUCAACAUUUAAAUGCAUGUGGGAAAAAUCACAUUUGCUUUUCACUUUAAUGUGCGUAAAUUCUAUAGCCGUCUGGAAGUGAUUUCAACAAUAGGGAAGAGAUCCGAGAAGCAACUUGGUUAGCUGUGAUCUUUGUUAACAAUAUCAGGCACUGCCAAAGACCUAUUACACAAAUCAUAGUUACCUUGCAGAUUCCUCCUUAAAGAAUUUCAUAGGCUGCAUGUCAAGUAGUGCAAAUAGCUCUCCACCAGAACAAAA